GCAAAAGAGGCUAUUGUGUUUCCAGCCAUUUGCAUCUGUUGAAGGAGGUCAUUGAAUGGACGUGACCGCAGGUUGACCCUCAACUCCAGAGCUGGUUUGGGGCAAUCGGAGGCUCCUCCCCCGGCCCAUCUGCGGAGUCCUCCUUCUGCAGAUUCUGCCCCCCAGUUCCAAAGCCGGAGCCAUUUUCAGGGAUACAGACGUGAGAGAGCAAAGCGCUGCUGAGACAACCUGGACGCGUGAGACGCUUGACUUAAGCCAGGAUUAAUGCUUAGAAUGUCAGCAAAUUCAACCCAUCACCCCUCUGAAUACAUUCAUCUUCCUACCAGGGUAGCAAGAGUGGAGAGAUUUCUUGAUGCAAAAUGCCUGAAGUCCUGCUAUUGCAUUAGCCUUUAUGGUUGGGAAUUGGACGAUUCACCAGAAGCACCGAGGGAUCAAAGCAGAAGGUGAAUGCCCCGAGUCUGAGAGAGCGUCGGACGCAUGAGGAGAA
Long non-coding RNA from Herpailurus yagouaroundi (jaguarundi), 487 nucleotides. RefSeq lists it as uncharacterized. Lineage: Eukaryota; Metazoa; Chordata; Mammalia; Carnivora; Felidae. The transcript has 3 exons. The record is from RefSeq and is a predicted model, not a curated record.